Molecule: unclassified non-coding RNA, 214 nt
Filed under: Hevea brasiliensis (rubber tree)
Lineage: Eukaryota; Viridiplantae; Streptophyta; Magnoliopsida; Malpighiales; Euphorbiaceae
Source: RNAcentral
AAUCAGGUAAAGUGUACUUGCCUAAGUUGGAUGUAGCCUGCAAAAGCAAACCACACCAAAUGAAAUGAUAAAUCAAAAUCUGAGAAAGAAAAGAAGUUCUACAAUAAUUUUAAUAACAAAAGCAUGCUAGAAACAGCAUGAAUUAAGAUAGAACACAAGUUGGAAGCAAAUUAAAAAAAGCAAUGCAAGCACAAAUCCACAUGAUGAAUAAUUA